RNAcentral lists this transfer RNA (89 nucleotides) under Phycisphaeraceae bacterium. RNAcentral describes it as "tRNA-Ser". It matches the Rfam family "tRNA". From Rfam's summary of the family: Transfer RNA (tRNA) molecules are approximately 80 nucleotides in length. Their secondary structure includes four short double-helical elements and three loops (D, anti-codon, and T loops). The record is from RNAcentral. Lineage: Bacteria; Pseudomonadati; Planctomycetota; Phycisphaerae; Phycisphaerales; Phycisphaeraceae.
UGGAGAGGUGGCUGAGCGGUUUAAGGCGCACGAUUGGAAUUCGUGUGGGGGAGCAAUCCCCUCGGGGGUUCGAAUCCCCCCCUCUCCGU